RNAcentral lists this ribosomal RNA (253 nucleotides) under uncultured bacterium. Its description in RNAcentral is "partial 16S ribosomal RNA". It matches the Rfam family "Bacterial small subunit ribosomal RNA", at positions 524 to 776 of the family's 1533-position model. The record is from RNAcentral.
UACGUAGGUGGCAAGCGUUGUCCGGAUUUAUUGGGCUUAAAGGGUGCGUAGGCGGCUCUGUAAGUCAGUGGUGAAAUACUCUAGCUUAACUAGAGGGGUGCCAUUGAUACUGCAGGGCUUGAGUACAGACGAGGUAGGCGGAAUUGACGGUGUAGCGGUGAAAUGCAUAGAUAUCGUCAAGAACUCCGAUAGUGAAGACAGCUUACUAGGCUGUAACUGACGCUGAGGCACGAAAGUGUGGGGAUCAAACAGG